UACGAGGGGGCAAGCGUUGUUCGGAAUUACUGGGCGUAAAGGGCGCGUAGGCGGCCUUCUAAGUCGGACGUGAAAUCCCUCGGCUUAACCGAGGAACUGCGUCCGAUACUGAAAGGCUUGAAUCCGGGAGAGGGAUGUGGAAUUCCAGGUGUAGCGGUGAAAUGCGUAGAUAUCUGGAGGAACACCGGUGGCGAAGGCGGCAUCCUGGACCGGUAUUGACGCUGAGGCGCGAAAGCUAGGGGAGCAAACGGG
Molecule: ribosomal RNA, 252 nt
Filed under: uncultured bacterium
Lineage: Bacteria
Description: partial 16S ribosomal RNA
Rfam family: Bacterial small subunit ribosomal RNA
Source: RNAcentral